GUAGCCCAGAGCGUGGCACAUUCAUAUAUGAUAGCAGAACUCUGCGUCCUCCUCCUCAAACAAGAGAGGAGACAGGAAAACGCAGCCCCUCCUCACUGCUAUAAAAGAAGGAGGAAAAAAAACUGAGUGAGAGGGGAGAAAAAAAAAAGGGGGAAGAAGAAAGAAAAUCACACCCAUACGGGCUUCGCUCCCCCCAUCUAAACCGUGUCUGCAUUUUAACCAUGGGAGAACAGCUCAUAUGAAGAUGUGCACCUCCUGAUAACCUGCCAACCUCAUCUGUCAGCCAUUAGAUAAUCAGAGCUGGUAAGGCGGACCACAGAGCGCUGGCACAGCUUCAUCCAGAGAGCAACACGAGGGCAAAGACUCAGAGACCUUCGCCCUGCAGACAGACAGACAGGUUGGUUCAUGCUCACAAGGCCUGAUAGAGGAAAAUGCAUCCAUCCAAGGAAAGACCACCAAAGAACAAUGAAACCAAAAGAACGAAUGCUGCGAUAAAUAAAAACAGGUAAAAACAGAGGUAAAUAAACCUGCACUAUCACACAUAACACGUAUUAUAUUAUGAAAUAAAAAAUGUCUACUAAAAUGACAAUUUUAAGUGUCUUCUAGGGCCUGAUAACGUAACGGUGGUGUGUGACACUGGAAAUCCUUCACACCUGUGGGUUGGUGGCCUGGGGACUUUGAAGAUGAACAAGCAAAAGCAGAAGCAGUUAAAGUCCCCCUCAAAUCAACUUUUAAGUCAAUUGUAAAAGUGUUCCCCAUGGCUGUUUUUAGCUAAAAACAGUUUAUGACACUAUGACAGUUUCUGCAGGGCCAUAGUAGUUCAACAGAAAUUCGCCUCUGGAUUGUGGGCGGGACUGUCCUGACUUCCCUCAUCCUUUGGUUUGAUGAGCAAAAUCUGUCCCAGCUCAGAUAAGAAAAACGAAGACGUACAAGGAUUUAUUUGUCUGUAAGUGGAUGCAUCAGAAUGGAGCGGAGCAGGAACCUUGUUGCCCACCAACUGUUGCACCUACGUCACAGCUACAAGCUUUUUCCGAACGCAUUUUUUCAUCUGCUCCUGAUUCACAACCAUUUCAAUAAAUGCAGUUUUAAUCUUAAUUUACUUCAUAUAUGUCCUCCAGAAAAUAGUGCAACAUGUUAAAAGCACCCAAAAACAAAAUUUUCAUUGGAGUGGGUCUUUAAGUUACAGGUAAAGUACAGCACAUAAAGUUGAAACUUCAAUGGGGAACACAUUGUCAUUAAGUAGUGAUAAGACAUUACAUAUCAACAACUUGAGGACUAUUACCUCCCUGUCAGUGACUGUGAGCUUGAACACACCAUCUAUCACUGUCUUUUUCUUCUAGAGUGAAGAAAAAGGCUCCCAGGAAUCGUCAACUUGAUAGUGUCGACAGGUCCACACAGGACCGGGCCCAGUUUGGAUGGAGGUGGGAGCCUUGUGGGGAAAUCCAUGUGUAAAUGGAGGCUAAAUAGAGGAUGCUCAGAGAGAGCUGCUAAUCUUUUCCAUAGAUUAUCAACAGAACAGUGUGAAGCCCAGCCUGUCUAACCAAGUCAAAGCAGGGCCGUGGCCCCUGUCAUUCAGUCGGGACAGCCCAAACUAAAUGCUUCCAGACUUCAGUGCUCCGGCUCCCCUCAUUUCCACUGCAGCUGCUCUCCAUCACAAAACUGCAGCAGUCACUCCUCAACAGUGUUUUUCGUAAACUCAGCUUAAGCUAAGACAUCCGUUGAUGAUGCCUGUACAACAGACAGCUGAUUAAAAACUGAAACACGCCAUGAUUGGCUGCCUCAUUUAUGUUUCCUGAUUGUUUGUCCUGAAAAGCUCUCCCAUUAAAGCUAUAGUUUAAAGCUGCAGAUACCAUCUCACAGCAUCUGGUUUUCUGAGGCAACCUCCUUUUUGGUUUUUUCUGAAGCCCACAUUGAAACAUUAUCUUCCAACACAGAUUUUCUUGGUUAAAACCAUGACAAAAAGAAAAUGCUGGUAAACACUUGGAUAGGAAGGGACCUUCCAUCCUCUAAUUCAAUUGCUCACACUCCAGCAAUGUCACAAAUGAAUGACCCCGAGGCAACACAUGCAGAGGUUGUUCCCCGCCUCGUGCCCUGGGGCCAAGUCGACAAUGACUAGUUGUGCAUGUGGAAUCCAUUUGAAAAUCCAAGGCAUGUCAUGAGCUUUACACUGGCAGGAAACCCACAAAUGUGAUGGUAGCAAUAAACGAGAACAAGAUACUCAAACUUGGUUGAACUUUUCAAAUGCAUCUCUUGUUUGCCACUGACAAUCAAUUCUAAGUCGUUUUAUAUUGUAAUAUUAACUUUGUGUCUAUAAAUGUUGACUUUGUGCAAUAAAGACAAUAAUUGCUUUG
This is a non-coding RNA of Oryzias latipes (Japanese medaka), 2351 nucleotides long. Lineage: Eukaryota; Metazoa; Chordata; Actinopteri; Beloniformes; Adrianichthyidae. The record is from RefSeq and is a predicted model, not a curated record.